AGAGCAACCCUACCCCCUCUAGGUGGUCUGCCAUCUGACCUAAGGGACUAGGCAAGCCCUGGACCUGGCCGCCUAACCUGGACCCAGGCAGGAAUAAGAUCCCGGCUGUUCUGAUCUGCUCUUCUCUUCCCAGUCUUAGCGGCUUCAUUUUAUAGAUGGGGACCAGUCCGCGUCCUAGAGGAGUUAGGAUGGCCAUAGGACAUCAAGUACCUCCCUCACCCACCCACGUCUACCCUAGAAUUUCCAUGGCAACUAGGGCAGUGAGACUACUUUGAGGACAGCCAUGUAAGUUCUAGGUGAAUGACUCUGGUAGCAUGCAUCCCAACAUGCCCACGACCCCUCAACGCAGAACCCUCCCCUGAAGAGGACCUGCAGCCCAAACAGUCUGGACAAGGAGGGGAGCGAAGGAGCAUCACUGGCACCAUACCUUGAUAGUGGUGAACUCCUUUCUCCAAGGCAGCAGGUUUGGAACAUGAGUGUUCAAUAAAUGCCCAAUAACUAAGUUACAUAUAGCCUGACUCCAGGAGUCUCCAAAGACCCCACUACUCCCGCAGUCUGGGACUGGAAACUCCCGUGUCCUGCCACCACCUCCUCACAGCAACCCCAGCUGCCGUGAGUAUUUCCUUUCCUGGGUGGGGCAGCUCGCAUCCAUGGAAGGAAGACGCUGCCUGUGCUUGGAUGCCAGCAUCACCCUAGGGCCCCAGCAGAAUCAAAGGGCAUUGCUGUGUCCCUGCACGUGGGGUGGUACUGUGGGACAUUCCACUGUGUGUGUGUGAGUAGGGUGAAGAUUACUCAGACACCGCCAGGGAACUGCUGUGGGCUCAGGACUACCGUAAUGACUCAAUCCCAGCCCUCCUAAUGAUGCCCUGCAGACACUUGCUAUCCCAGAGAGGGAAGUCCACAAUUUCCUGGCUGGGAACAGCCCUGGGAAGAUGCUGCUUCUGUGCAGAGGCUCUAGGGUUGGGCUGUGGCCCCCUGUUACGCUGUCAGCUGUGAUCUCGAGGAGACUGGCAGAUGCUGGCUGUGUUGCCCGAGGCCUGGCUGCCCAGUGGGUAAAGGAACAAGUCACAUGAACGUCG
This 1079-nucleotide long non-coding RNA is filed under the name Mus pahari (shrew mouse). RNAcentral describes it as "lncRNA (MGP_PahariEiJ_G0005203.1)". Lineage: Eukaryota; Metazoa; Chordata; Mammalia; Rodentia; Muridae. The record is from RNAcentral.